GAUGAAGAACGUAUCGAAAUGCGAUAAGUAAUGCGAAUUGCAGAAUUCAGUGAGUCAUCGAAUCUUUGAACGCACAUUGCGCCCUGUGGUAUUCCGCAGGGCAUGCCUGUUCGAGCGUCAUUUCAACCCUCAAGCCUCGCUUGGUGUUGGGCCCUGCCCGCCGCGGCCGGCCCUAAAGAUAGUGGCGGCGCCGCCUGGCCCUCAGCGUAGUACAGCUCUCGCUCCAGGGUCCGGCGGCAGCCUGCCAGAACCCCCCAACUCUGUGGUUGACCUCGGAUCAGGUAGGGAUACCCGCUGAACUUAAGCAUAUCAAUAAGCGGAGGA
This 324-nucleotide unclassified non-coding RNA is filed under the name soil metagenome. Its description in RNAcentral is "partial contains 5.8S ribosomal RNA, internal transcribed spacer 2, and large subunit ribosomal RNA". The stretch from base 1 to 120 matches the Rfam family "5.8S ribosomal RNA", at positions 35 to 154 of the family's 154-position model. The record is from RNAcentral.